UCUCCGCACCUUGCCUUUACAAGUCCCUUUCCGUGUGAAUGUAAAAUAUUUAAAAUUAUAUUUGUAACUGUAUUCAUGCAAGGAUGACUAUAAUCCUAGAGGAGGACUGAGAAGAGGACCACCGGUGGGGGCAGUGCAGACUCCACAAGGCCCCUCUGGGAAGGCAGAAAGGGCGGGCAGGCCGUUCAGUGGGAGAACUCGGGGUUCACUGCUAGUGCCCAUCCCCCCUCACCUGGUGAGUGUGGGCCCCGGAAGGCAGUGAAGAGCGCAGAAACUCUGAGCAGGCUCCGUGCUCGCCCCAGUGUGGCCUCUGAGAGCCUCCGGAAGCGGCGCGCGCGAUCUGGGCCGGUCGAGCCCGGGGAACCCCGAGGGGCAGCGGGGCGGGGCGGAUCCGGGGCUCGGGCGGGCCGGGCUGAGCUCUGCGGCGCGGCGCUGCUAGCACUGGCAGCAGCGUGCUCCGCGUCUUGCGCUUCCUGCGCGGCUUCUUCAAGUCCAAGCUCCUUGGCUGUUCCCUCAUCUCAGAAAAUGGCCAUCCUGCUCCCCUCCUGCCAUGAUAAGGUGGUAAUGGUCUCUCACUGAACCUGUUCUGCAUGGCUCCUGAGAUACCUGGUCCAGACUUCUGGGGAUGAGGACGGGGCUGCUUGCAAGACUCUGAAGGCCCUCAUCUGUGACUCUUUCCUGGGUCCUGGCAUCCUGCCCCAUAUGACUGUGCACUUCAGUGGACAUGAGCAAAGCUGUCUUCUGGGCUGUGACUUCCUAUGUGAUGAGCUCCUUGGGACGCUCUGAGGAAAGACUGAGGUUUACAGUUGGACCUGGUGAGGAGGAUUUAAGGAAGCAAGGUUUAGCUCUAGACUGGACGUCAUUAGGGAAUGAAGGCCUUUCUGGGACCAGGCAUCUUUAGUUUCUUUUCUGUUUACAGUGCUGGGCCUCAUGUGCUAGGCAAGUGACCCGUGUGAGCAGGCGGCACAGGCUGGUGGCAGGGUGCUGUCCUUCCUUGAUCCAUCUUGGUUAGCCUGGCAUCUCAUAUUCAGCACAAGAGCACCAGAGCCCCGCAGGGACACCAGGCCAGCUCCCUCUGUCAGGGACUGUGGUCCUCUCUGUCUUUUUUAUUUUUUAGAUAGGAUCUCACUAUCUGCCUACCACAGCCUCCCGAGUGUUGGGAUUAUAGGCAUGUGCCACCUUACCCAGCGAUGUAGAUGUAGUUGUCUGUCUGUCUCUCUCUCUUGCUCUCUCUCCAUACUUGGAAAUGAGCAUUUUGAACCAUACACAUUGGGUGUGUGUCCAAUUCCCUCAGGAACUUUACCCACAGCCUCGUGUUGAGGCCACUCUUGGCCCCAUAACAAUUCUGUGGGGGAGGCCUGGUUAGGCAAAAGCCCCAGGCAGUUACCAUAAGUAUUCUGUCUGAGCUCUGGGUAUGUCACUGAUUUGUGGGUUCUGCUAAGCUUCAAUCCUAUUUAUUUCUUAAUUUCCCUUAAGACUUUCUCUUUGACCAUGGAAGUGUCAUUUGCUUUUCAGUAGGGCAUUUUUAUUGGUUUUCUGUUAUUUUCAAUUGGUUUCAUAUGGCCAGAGAACAUAUGCUGUAUGAUAGCAACUGUUUUAAAUAUUUUUAGGUUUGUUUGGUGACUCAGGGAAUGGUCUAUACGGCGCCGCGGGCAACGAAAGACGUAACUGUGUUUGGAUCAGCUCUCAAUAUUUAUUGUGUACAGCGAAGCUGGAUCUGACAAGAUCCACCACCCUCAAGUUUCUUCCUCUUCUGCCCGUUGGGGGCAGAAACACACACUUAUAUAGGAUCUGAGUAACCAGUCAAUACGAAGCAGAAGUCGCAUGCUGAUAGGCCACAGUCACCGGUAGCUAGGUAGACACUCAUUUUGGCAGGGUUGUUUGCGCGGCAACAGGGACCCGGAAGCAGGAAACGGGCGCCAUCUUAGGGGAGCGGCUCGAGCAACCCCCAACAAUGGUCUAUGUUGCUAAGUGUUUCAUAGACAUCUGAAAAGAAUGCGUAUUUUGCUGAUGUUGGGUAAACUGUUGUGUACAGAGCAGAUACAGUUUGGUGAUGACCUCCUCAGCUGGUUAUCUUUGCUGAUUUUGUGUCUAGUAGUCUUAUCAAUUGUUGGUAGAGGGGUUUGUACUCCCCAAGUAUAAUUGUGGAUUUUCCUCUUUUUAUUUAAUUUGUAAAAUUCUACUCAUUUGUUUUUCAUGUGGUUUGAAGCUCUGUCAUUUGGUACAUACACAUGUAACAUUGAUAUAUCUUGUUGGAAUGAUUUUUUUAUCAUUAUUAAAUUUCAUUCUUUGUCCCAGUAAUUUUUUUUUGCUCUGACAUUUAUGUUACCCAAUAGCAGUACAACCACUCCUGCUUUUUUCUUUAAGUUAAUAUUAAAAUAUAUCUUUUUCUACUCUUUACCUAUGUUGCUAUAUUUGAAAUGAUUUUUUCCUAGAUGUCAUAAAAUUGGAUCAUUAUUUGGAUCUACUAUACCAAUCUAUAUUUUAAUGUCAUAUUUAGACCACUCCAUUUAAAAUAACUAUUGGAAUGUUAGAACCUAAACUUGUUAUUUUAAUAUUUGCUUUCUUUUUGUUUCCUCUUUUUUUCAUUCUUGGCUUUCUUUGGUCUGUCUUUCCUAGCGGUUACACUUUUUGUUGGACUUAGUAUCAUUUUAUGGGACUUAGUAUCAUUUUAUUUAUACUCUUUUUUUUAAAUGUCAGUAUUUUGUAAUUUUCUUAUUGUUUGUUCCAGGCAUGACAGUGUAGAUAUACGACUAAUAACUACCUACUAGAGUGGAUUUUUCAUCACUUCUGGUGAUAUAUUAAAACCUUAUUUCCAUUUAGAUUCCUUUAUAAUCCUCCUUAAAAAUACAUUUUUCAAAGAGAGGAAAACAAAGUGCUCUAAAGGAUACAACUGCAAAUGUGUUUAGGUGUGUUAAGAUAGAUAACUAUAUUACUAAGUUUUUGUUGGAUCAUUGAACACAACUGUUUACAGUCUUACUGCUUGAAUGUCCACUUUGUAUGCUUUAAUCCUGUAACUUGAGCAACUAUUUCUAAGAUGACAAUGUGUAAUCUAUUAGCUAGUGAUUUCUUACUGUUUUUUAUGAAAUUCUGUAUUACUUGUACCCUUACACUGUUUUGUUUUUUUCUCCUUUAAAUAAAAUUUUUUUAAAAUACAUUUUUCAAGGAUUUCAUCUAUAUAAAUUGAACAGCACAAUAAAUAUUAUAAUUUUUGCUUCAUUCGUCAAAAAUGCUGUUAUGAUUUGAAUGUGUCUCCUCUCAAAUUCAGAUGUUGCCAGUGAAGUAUUAUUAAGGGGUAUGAAAGUAUUAGGUCGUGAGGGCCUCUCCCUUCAUGAGUGUGAUGACCCUGUGUAACCCUAUGUAAAAGAGGGUUCACCAAGCAUUCAGGUUGCCCUUCUGCCUUUGGCCAGGUGAAGACAAAAUAUCCCUCCCCUCUGGAAAAUGCAGGCUUCAUUAGAAGGCAGUGUCUGCUGGUACCUUGAUUUUGCACUUGCCAGCUUUUGGCUGUGAGAAACAAAUUGUUAUUUAUAAAUUACCUAUUCAUAACCUUGAUUAUUUUGUUACAUUGCCACCAAAAGGACUAAGACAUUUGUUAUAGGAAAUUCAUUAGGAUAGUUUAUUACACCUGCCUCUGUUUUAUCUCUUCUACUGUUCUUUUCUAAGUUGAAAUCUCCCAUAACUAUUUCUUUUGUCUGGUAGUUUUCUUCUUCAUUAUUCUAGUUAGGAACUCUAGGAGAGUCUCUCUUAGCCACUUUUUAAGAGUAGGUUUGCUCACAACAAAUCCCCAUCAUUUUCCUUUGUCUGAGAUUAUCUUGAUUUCCACUUCACUAUUAAAAAUCUGUGUCCCUGGGUAUUGCGUUUUUUAUGGAAUAUUCUUUCUUAUAGUAUUUUUAAGAAUAUAUAGGUUUCUUCUGGUCUUCAUGGUUUCAAAUGAGAAAAGGCUAUCACUUAAGUUGUAUUCUUCUGAGAGUAAUUAUUAUCAGCUUUCUGUUAUUAUAACAAAUAUCUAAGUUAAUAAGUUUAUGAAGAGGAAAAAUUUAUUUUGGCUCUAAUUUUGGAAGUUUCCAGUUGGCUGGCCAUCCCCAGGGCCUUCAGCCUGUGAUAGCACAGUAUAUCAUGAUGUGAGGGGUCAUGGCCAGAUGGGAAAAACAGAGGAGUGCGCUGGAGGACCAUAUCAAGAACACACCCAUGACCUGGUUUCAUGUCUUCCACUAGGUUUCAUUGUCUUAAAGGCUCUCUUGCCUCCCAUCAGUCCCAACCCAGAGACACAUGCUUCAUGAGACAUUUCGGAUUCAAACUAUGGCAAUAAUGCCUUGUUUUUCUGUGGUUUCUACGGUGAUUUUGUUUCAUUUUAAUUUUCACAAGCUUAAUUAUAAUGUUUUGGGGCAUAGGUUUCUCUAAGCUUAGCUUAUUUGGGAUGGAUUCAGCUCCUUGACUCUAAAAAGUAUGUCUCAUACCAUAUUUGGGAUGCAUCAAGAAUUAUUUGUUUGUUUCUUCUCUGUCUCCAGGACUUCAGUGACACAAAUAAUGCCAAAGCUAUGAUCACUUUUCUCUCCUCCAUUUUCUUUCUGUGGUUCAGGAUGCUGUUGAUUCCUCCCAAGUUCAUGAAGUCUGUUUUCCAUCCCCUCCACUCUACUUCUUAACCUAUUAAUUCAGUUUUAUUUUUAGCCAUUACAGUUUUUAACUUCAUGAUAUCUACUUUCUUUCUAUAUUUGCUUCUAUCAUUAGAGUUUUUCUAAUUUUACAUUUGGUCUCAAGAAUAUUCAUAAUUGCUUCUUUAAGCAGUUUUUGGUUGACUGCAUCAAAAUCUGUCAGAUUGUACCACCUGAUUCUCUAAGUGUUGGAUCAGCUGUUUUUUCUUAUCUAAGCUAUGGUUUUUCUGAUUCUUGGCAUGAUGUGUGAUUUCCAGGUACAUUUUAAAUAUUCUUGGUAUUAUGUUAAGACUCUUGAUCCUAUUUACAUUUUUUGGUUUUGCAAGCAUCUGUCUUAUCUAGAUUGAGCAUGUAGAUCUAGCCCAUUUUAUUGGCUAUAAUUGCAACACCAUUUCAGUUUUGGGAUUUCUGUGUUUGUUCGUUUCUUUGAAAAAGGAUCUCUCUCUCUGCAGUUCAGACUGGUGUUCACUACAUAGUAUAGGCUGGUCUCCAACUCACAGUGAUCUUCUGCAUUAGCUCCCAAUUGCCAGGGUUACAGGUGUGCACCACCCUGCCUGACUUUUGUUUCUUGGUUGGUUCUGUGUUAUCAAGGAUCCAACCUCCAGGUGCUAUGCCACCAAGCUUACAUCCUCCGCCUCUUAUAUUUUUUAUUUUGAGACAAGGGCUUGCUAAUUUGCCAAGUGCGUCUUGAACUGUGAUUCUCUUGCCUCAGCCUCCCAAAAUGCUAAGAUUACAGGUGCGUGGCACUGGGCCUUGCUCACAUUUCAGUUUUCUUAGCCUUUGUACCACUGUCCUAGUCAGCUUCCCUCCCCUUCUUUAUCCCUUAACACCAUAUUGAUGCUGUCUGCAAGAACAGAAGUGGCGUCCUUGGGCAGCUGGCAUUGUUGUGAUGGAGCAGAAAUCCUGACCUACAAGGCAGAGAUUACUUCCUCUUCCCAACCACUUUCACCUGAUGGGCUUGCCACUCUUACCUUUACUGCUGGGUUGGAGAUAUAACUCAGAGGCACAGUGCCUGCCUGACAAACACGAGGUCCUAAGUUUGAUUCCCAAUAUUAAAAAAAAAAAAUUUGAGAAAACCAAAUCUUUGCUACUGCCCCUGGGAAGAGGACAUUCUGCGCUUUUAAGUGCCACUGGCCUGUGUGACUGUCUAUUGUCAUAGGUUUGGGAGAUGCUAGAUGCUUUCUGCUGUUGAGCGAACAGUUCAGAAACAGUAGUCUGCUGGCCUGGCCAGUGCAGGCUCCUGGAAAGUGCAGUGCCAGAGGUGCUUGAUUUCCCCAUGUUCUGGACUGACAGAUCAGCCUGCUGCUGCUGCUGCAUGGUGCAGAGUGCGGCCGGAGGGUGGGUUGGCCUACUAAGGCCCUGGUGUGCCACUUCUGCCCCUAGUUCAGGUGGUUUCUGGUGAUUACCCCUUUCAUGGAGCUUUGGCCAAAGAGAAUGGUCUGCCUGUGUUUUCUUAGAUUCUGCUUUUUCAGUUUGGCAUCCACUAGUUUAAUCACAGAGUCAAGCGAUCUCUCACUUAUGAGCCAGGCCAGAUCCAGUGCCAUCCUCUUUUACCAGUUCUCACACACUAAGUCAGGGUUCCCCUGCCCUAAAUCAGUCCAGAGCUAAGGACUUCCCUGUGCCAUAGAAUCACUCAGAUCUACCAUCCCUGGGUGGUUUCCCUGCCCUGUCUUAUCUUUCCAUUGAAACAGCGAAAGCUGUGGCUUAGAUUAGCCCUUCACGCCUCUGCUUCCUGAGCUGUAGUGGUGCUUACCUUGUGGCCUGCACAAUGAUAUAGUGUCUUCUCUUGGAAACUGUAAUUAACAUUAAUCUUUUCCACACAAUAGACCCUCCACAUUGUCACUUGGUCUCCUUCAUGAAAGUUCCAUGUGUAGAAGGAUCAAGGCUGUGUAACAGUACAAGGAUACAGUUGUAUGAAGGAGUAACUUUAUUAAUCUCUAGCAUGGUAGGAUAAGGCUGACCACAAUUAUUUCAAAAUAAUCGGUAGGGUAGAUUUCAAAUAUUCCCAACACAAAUGGUAGAUGUCUGAGAUACUAGAUAUGGCCAGUUACUGUGAUCUGAUCAUCACACAGUGUGUUCAUGUACUGAAAUGUAACACUGUACUCCAUACAUAUGCACAAUGAUAUGUCAGCUAAAAAAUAUAUCUUUUAAAAUUCCAUGAGUACAGGUGGAACAGACAGCAAGUUUUUUUUCUCUCUACCUUUCCUCCUUCUUCAUUCUAUUUGUUCCUUCCUUUUUUUAUUUUAAAGGGAAUAAAACAAAACAGUAAAAUGAAGCCAAACAGAGAUAGGACAGUAGGAAAUUCACAGUCAUUACUAUAUUACAUAUCGGCAUCCUCUAAAUAGUUGCUUAGACUACUGGCCCCAGGCUUGCAAAGUUCUUCAUUCUUUCUGCCUGUUUGUGGCUACAGGUUCCAGUGCUGUCUGGUUGCCAGUGGACCACAUAUGGGAGAUGAAACAGGAAACCCAAGGAAUCAAGUACUUGUAGUGUUAGCAUAUGAGCAGGCACGUGUAUCCCUUAUGGUCUACGUGGGAGUGAAAUGCAGAAGCUCGCCAACCUCACCGCCCUUCAUCACAGCAUGCAGUACGCUCCGUCUGUGAGCUCCACACUCCCAGGUUCACCCAACUGUAACAUUCACAGGAUCCAUUCGCACUGCAGGGUUCCUCCCCACAUUUCUUGUUUCCUGGUCUCUUCAAUGAAUCACUUAGUCUUCUUAGCCCACUGACUGUAUGUUUUCAAUUCUGUCUGUACAGAAUACAUACAGCACAUGAACCUUGCAGAAAAACACAUACAAACCACAGCACAUGCUACAAAACCAGAAUCUGAGGAAGAUUAAGAACAGAGAAACCACAGGUUGAGAAAUAACAAAGUCAAGAGAAGUAUGCUGGAACAAAGCAAAACAAAACAGAAAAGGGGAGAGUUCAGGGAAGAGAGUGGUGUGGUUGAGUUGAGUGUCGGAACCCAUAGAACAGUCCGAUGGGCUAUGAGAGCACAGCGUGUGUGUCAGCUUCUCUCUUCUGCUGUAACUAACAUCCGUAAACUUGGAGUCUUAAAACACUGUAAGAUUUGUCAAAUGAUGUGGAGCUCAGGAAGACUAGUGUAGGGCUCACGGGACCAAAUGCAACACAUUCACAGGAUCCCUUCGCACUGCAGGGUUCCUCCCCACAUUUCUUGUUUCCUGGUCUCUUCAAUGAAUCACUUAGUCUUCUUAGCCCACUGACACAUCUACUCCGACUUUUAUGCCUGUUUUUUUUUCUCUAUAAAAGGCCACACAAACAAUCCAUCAUAAUCUCCUCAAGUCUUUAACACAACUGCAAAAUCUCUUACCUUAAAUGGUAACACUUAUGGUUCCAGGAAUUAGUACACAAAGAUGGGAUGUGGGAAUACCAGUUUGCCUAUGAUAGUCUAGAAGAAACAGUAGGAAAAAUAGCAACCUUAGGUUGAAGAGCAUUUUCUUAAUUUGAUACAUACACAAAAAUGAUGUAUGAAAAUCAAUGAAUCAGGCUUCACUGAAACAAAAACCUUUGCUCUUCGAGAGAUAUUGAUAACAAAAUUAAAAGGCAAGCCACAGCCUAGAAGACACUAUUUGUAAAGCAUAUAUCUGACAAAAGACUUUUAGCCCUGCUAUUUGGUGCCAUGCGUGGGCUGCUGGGGGGACAGCCAGAUGCCAACCUUUACCCAUGAGUCAGUGCCAUUCACAGACUGCAAGGAAAGAGAACAAGAAGUAAACCCUCCCUGUGAAUCAGUACUAUGUGCAGGUCGCUAUGGGGAGAGCCAGGUGCCUGCCCCUUCCGUCAUGUGGGCUGGGAAACAGCAAGAGGUAACACCACCACCCUCUUGCCAUAAGCCACCUGCUGAUCCAGAGAAACACAGGCUAUGAUGAUAGCUACUGAGGUAACGUACAACUUAAUGCUUGUAGUGUUUAGUGUUUCACCGACUUUGCAGGUCUAAAGCUCGUAGAUCAUCUAUUUAGAGGAUAACAGUACACAAUGUAACAGGAAUCUCCUUCUGACAGUGGUAGCAAUAGUUAAUUCCUUAUCAUCUUGUUUUGCAGUCCUGUAUCAUUUUCAUUGUUUUGUUGGGUUGGGUUUUAUUCUGUUUUAUUUUGUUUUGUUUUGUUUUGUUUUGUUUGAGUUAAUUAUAUCUGAUGGCAUGGGCAACUAUUUCAAAGAUAACAAGAUUUAUUGUAGUAGUCAUUUUGAAUUUACAGUUAUCUUGUUUUGAAGUCCUUUACUACAUUCAUUGUAUUGUUUUUAUUGGUUCUAUUCUGUUCUGUUUUGUUUGAUUUUUACUAUGUCUGAAGGUAUCUUCAGGUAUUUUGAAGACAAAAGGAGGCAUUAUGGUAACCACUGUUGAUUUCCUAUUGUUUUGAAGUCCUGUAUCACUUACACUGGUUUGUUUUUAUUCUGUCUAUUUUGCUUGGUUUUAUUGUCUUUAAAAUAAAACAAAAAAGACUUGUAUUUUACAUUCUUA
This is a long non-coding RNA of Cavia porcellus (domestic guinea pig), 9125 nucleotides long. RefSeq lists it as uncharacterized. Lineage: Eukaryota; Metazoa; Chordata; Mammalia; Rodentia; Caviidae. The transcript has 2 exons. The record is from RefSeq and is a predicted model, not a curated record.